This is a long non-coding RNA of Apis cerana (Asiatic honeybee), 7046 nucleotides long. RefSeq lists it as uncharacterized. NCBI's taxonomy places the organism in Eukaryota, Metazoa, Arthropoda, Insecta, Hymenoptera, Apidae. The record is from RefSeq and is a predicted model, not a curated record.
UUUUCCAUUUUUAUCAUUUUUUCGCUUGAUGAAGCUAUUUAAAGUUUUGCCUACACCAAUUUUUUCAUCAUAUAAUGCUAUAUUUUUUUUUUUUUUUUUUAUUUUCUUUAAAUCUUCAUACGCUUCAUUCUCUUCGAUAAUUUCAUGCUGUAUUCUAAAAAAAAAAAAGUGUCUUUAUCCAUUUUCUCUCUUGGGUAUCCCCUUUUCACCGUUUUUGUUUUUCAGCAUUCUACAUUCCACUCGUGCUUUCUUCUUUUUCGCAGUUCGAUUUAACCCACUUUCCUUUCUCCAUGGCAUUUUAUGUAAUUUAUACCGUUUCUCUUUAUACCUAACUCUCUUCUUCUUCUCGAAUUUUGCUCCUCAGAAUUUUUACACUUUACACUUAUUUCAUAUAUUUUGAAGAAUUGAAGAAUUCGUAGGAGAAACAAUCUUCUCAAUUUUAUGAUAUUUGUGAUGAUUUGAUUAGAAAUUUUAGCAAAGAAAUUACAUAAAAGAAUCCAAGAUAAUUUUCUGUUCUGUAAGAAAAAUUAAUAAAGAAGGAGAAAAAUCGAUUGAAAAAAAAUCGUUUCUAUUUCAAUUGUAAUGUUACAAAUAUUACAAAUAUGUUACAAACGAUGUUUCAAAAUCUAUCCUGCUUCGAGUAACUUUUUCCGUUAUCAUCUGCAAAUGAAUAAAAUUUAAUCACGGUUUAAGCGACCGUUAUUUAAAACAGCAUUUAAUUGCUUUUAUCGUGGAAAAGCGUGGGGUCUGUCCAGCUUUCGAAAAUAUAAUUAUAAUAAUUUCUAUGUUCUGCUUUGUUCGAGCCGAAUCGAAAGUCACCAUUAACUCGCGUCGAAUAUUUUUUAUCGUAUAAAUGGAAAUAUAAAUAGAAUGAUAUUCGCCGAUGAAUAAUUCUUGUAAAAUAAUUUAAUUGGAAAUAAUAAUUCUGUCCGAUUAAAUGAUUAAUUUAAAUUUUUGUUCUUUCCUUUCGUUUUUUUCUUUACAAUUGUUAAUAAAAAUAAUAAUUCUCAUUUUCUCUCUUGAAUGUAAUCAAAAAUUUAAUACAAUAGGCAAUAAUUUAUCGAAUGAAAUAUGAAAGACGUGCGAUCUAACAUGGCAGUCUUUGAAAAUCGUAUUUCUCUCCUUCUCCAUUGUUGUAUCUUUUCACUUCAAUCUGUCCCCGUAGACCUUCACAUUCUCUUUUAUAGCCCCUUAAAAUUAUACGUGAUGUAAAAUGUGUAUGUAUUCUCACGAGACACUGUGGAAAACGUAUAACAGAGAUCGUGCAAAAUUUACCCAGUUACAAUGCAAAUAUCUCUUAUAAAACGCAGUAUCGUCACAAUAUUAACUGAAUAAUUACUAACAUUAAUUCUUAUUUUUAUUAAUUAAAAUGAUUCAUAUUGAGUAUUUUGUAAGAAACAAUUUUUCUUUCCAUUUAUUUCUUCCUUUUCUCGUGAAAUUAUUCGAAUACAUUAUCUUACAGUGAGAUUCAGCUAAAAUUCAAAAAUUCUAAAACGAAACUUUGUAGAUUACACAAAAUCUAUUUUCAAGAAUUGAAAACGACCCUUCAAGUUAUCAACACUUUUCAUACAAUUUCAAAAUUUUUAACACAAUUUCCUCAGACUACAAAAUUCUUCACUUUUAAAGUUUUGCUCUACCAUUAGAAAAGUUACAUUUAAAGAGAGGAAGAAAAAUUCAUUGAACAUUCUGAAUCCCUUAAAAUAACAACGAAAACAAAUUGCUUCGUAUAUAAUCACAAAGUUUCGUUAAAAGAUAAUGGAAUUGUUUAUUAAAAUUUCGAUCGAAAAAUAAAAAGCUUUCCUGACCCAUUCUAUGUAUUUACAUAUUUAUAUAUUUUCUCUUUUAAUCGCACUUGCUUUUUUCACACACACGCGCGCACGCGCACACAUUAAUCCAUAUCUGAAACCAUACACAACGUUGCCUUCCCCGUUUCAUUUCCCGCCUUUAUAUCGCGCCUGGCGGUAUGCUUUCGUGCAAACAGCCUUCCCCUUGUACAAUGGACGGCCCCUGAGAAAGUGACGGAGAGACGAAGCAUCCGUAGGUGGUACAAAUUGAACGCAAGCAAGCAAUAAGCUACUUGCAUUGCUUUUCUCUAUCACGUUACGAUUAGCAGGAACGUGACCUAGUCACGCAAUUUUAUUGGCAACCACCAACGUAACAGCAACACGUCUUCCAUCGUGUCCAUCUGUUGUCGGCGAGAGAAACUUUCGUAAGGAGAGAUUUCAAGAGCGCGGGCUUUUCAAUAUUCGUCUUGCUUCUGCACGAUACAACGAUUGAGAGAGAAAAUGGAUGAUGCAGCGAAGGAGAAUUUUAUAAAGAAAGAUUCCAAAAGUGUAACGUUGACUUUUUAAUACGAUUGAAAGAGAAAAUGGAUAUUCGAUUUUAAAGUAUGGUAUUAUAUACUCGUUUUUAAUGAAAGAUUCCAAAAUUUUAAGGUAUGGUAUCAUCUAUUUAUUUUAUUGAUGAAGGAUUUUUAUAGACAUUCGAAAAAUAUUCGGUUUUAAGAUAUGGUAUUAUUUAUUCAUUUUGUUUUUAAUGAAAGAUUUUUAUAGAGAUUCUAAAAUUGUAACAUUGACUUUUUAAUACGAUUAAAAGAGAAAAUGGAUGGUAUCUAAUUUCAUUUUAUGAUAUCAUCUAUUUAUUUUAUUGAUGAAUUUUUAUAGAGAUUCCAAAAGUACAAUGUUAAUUUUGUAAUAGGUUUCUGCAUGAUUAUUCGGUUUUAAGAUUUUUAUAGAGAUUCCAAAAUUGUAACAUUGACUUUUUAAUACGAUUAAAAGAGAAAAUGGAUGGUAUCCAAUUUUAAGGUAUGGUAUCAUCUAUUUAUUUUACCGAUGAAGGAUUUAUAGACAUUCCAAAAGUAUUCAGUUUUAAGAUAUGAUAUUAUUUAUUCAUUUUAUCGAUGACUUUUAUAGAAAGAAAGAGAUUCCAAAAGUGUAACGUUGACUUUUUAAUAGGAUUAAAAGAGAAAACGGAUAUUCGAUUUCAAGGUAUCCUAUUGUCUAUUUGUUUUGCUGGUAAAAGAUUUUUAUAGAGAUUCCAAAACGUUGACUUUUUAAUACGAUUGAAAGAGAAAAUGGAUAUUCGAUUUUAAGCUAUCGUAUCGUUUAUUCGUUUUGUUGGUGGAAAACUUUUUGAUAGGAAGAAUUUCCAAGUAACUAUAGCAUUGACUUUUUAAUAGACUUUUACAUGGUUAUAACGAUUGAAAAUAGUAUUCCAUUUCUCUAAUUACGAACCAUUCAAUUUUCGCUCCUAUUAUAUCUAUGCAUUAUUGAAAAAUUUUAAGAGAUUCCAAAUAUAUAUAUGCUGACUUUUUAAUAGAUUUUCUGCAUAAUUACAACGGUUAAGAGAUAAAACGAUUAUAAGCAUCGUCGAAACAUUAUAAAAAUUUGGAAAAAAUACAUGGAUCAGGACAGAAAGAAUAAAUUUAUCAUCAGCCUAACAUCUCGCUUACACCAGAUCUCACUACAGAAUAUGAAACUUAAGUACUUAACCUAACUUUGACGUUAAAUAUCUCGUUAAUUAUCGAUCGGCUUCCUCCAAUUUCGCGAAUUACAUCCGACUGUGUGUCAAAAGACGAACGACCAGCUAUCCCUCGCUCAUCCAGCAUUAAUAUGAGAGCGUUCUUCGUAUCAGAGGGUUCUACGCGAAGUGCUUUGAAAAGAAACGUCUCGUGCAUCUUAGGCCACUUCACUUAAGUAGAAUCUUCGUUGUCACGAGUUGAUGUUAAGUCUGAACGAGGCGACGACACGUAACGAGGCAAAGAUUUACGUAAAGUUGAAUUUUUUUUACUAUUAUUAUUGUUAUAUUAAUGCGACGCGCUAAUUGAGUAGAAAAUUAUUGUGAAUUCAAUCAAUUGCAACGAUCGACUUUAUUAUUUUAUUUACGUGAUAAAUCCUUAAUCGUUGAAAUCUUGUUAAUACACGUUUCAUUUCAAGGAGGUGGUUAAUAAGCUGUUUCUCCAUUGUUGUCACUCAAGAGAAUAAUGACGAUGAAGUCGGAAAUUAGUUCUAAUUGCUUCGAGUAUUUAUGCACGUUUGUAUAACGAAUGGACUUACAUUUUGAAACUCAAUUUAAUCCAGGACGAUUGUUAAGUAUAUACACAAGUGUGAUGUCAAUUACAUUCUUCUAUAUGUAAUAUAUAAUUUAUUAAUAGUUAUAUUAUAAUUUAAUUUUUAAUUUAGAUUAAUAAAUAAAUAAAAGUGUAUAAAAAUAAUCAAAUUAACAACAAAAUGUCAAUAUCAAAUAGUUAAUUUAUAUUAUGUAUAUUUGAAAAAUUAAUAUUCGAUAAAAAGAUACUGAAAGGAAAAUUGAUCUAAUUAAGACAUGUAAUCCAUGAAAUCUAGUAGCUAUAAAAAAAAUUGAACCAUAAAUUAUAUUACAUAUAUAUUUAAGAAAAAUAUCAAUCAAAUGAUCAACUUAAUUAUUAUUAAUGAUUUAAAUAAUUCUUUUUAUAUAAGAUUGAUAGAAUUCACAAUUCAUUGAUGAAGAUAGAAUGAGACAUUGUUUGAGAAAUAAUUUCAAAAAAAAUUUAUCCAAAAUAUAAAAUUGUCACAAUUAACACAGUUAAAUAUAGUUUCAAUUUGUAAACACAUUUUUAAUUUCUUUCCAUUUGUUUCUAAAUUUGAAACAGCUUUGGUCCACACUUAAUGAUUGUAGACUAUAACAAGUGUUGUAUUUCACUCGUACAAUCAUCGUUCAGGCUUGUUUCUAUUCAAACUUCACCAUGUUAUUCUGAUUGUUUUCCUUCACAAUUCCUAUCUGUUUUGCAGUCUCUCUUGUAUAUUCUAUACGUUCAACUUCACUUUAUCUCCCUCGAGAAAUUGUAGAAAGAAAAUAGAACUGUCCAAUAACAGUGAAGUGAAUACAAUGAAUUUUUAGAAGAAUCAAUUAUCCAUAUUCUAUGAAGUUGUUCAUCGUCAAUACCUAUCAAUGAUAAUUCGUUUCAUAUUAAUUCACAUCAAUCAAGAAUCAAGAAUAUUCUAAUUGUUGCAAGCAACAAGAUGAUCAAGUAGUUCUCCUGGAUUCUUCAGGAUUAUCUUAUCAAUUUACUUAAAUUCUUAUCUUUAAUAAUUGAAACGUUUUGUAUCUGAUAUUCUUAUUCAUUUUUUAUCUUGAAAUAUUUUAAGUUGCAAGUAUUUUUUUUUAAGAGAUUUUUUUUUCAGAUAUCUCCUUCACUUUCAAAAUAUUUCAAAAGUUUCAUAUCUUUCACUCUCAACUAAGCUAAAUUUAGAAAAUCCAUGAAUAAAUACUUUGGAAGGAUCUAUCGAAUAUUUUUGCUCGAUUAUUUAAAUUAAAACUUUGUUAGAUAGAAUUCAAAACUUGAUUUUUUUCUUUCAGGAAAUAAAGAUCGAAACUUCUCUCUGUUUACGAUUUCUUGAGAAUUCUGAUCGAUGUGUUCAAAAAGAUGUUGGUCGUUGAAGAAGGCAGAAGCCUGGAUUGAGAUAGCAACGACAGACAGCUAUUAAGGUCAACAACGGAUUUCAGGAAAAAUCGAUAGACCGGAUAGAACGACCCUCGAUGGAUAUCGGCCUGUUUAGAAUCAAGGGUGCAUACAAGGAUCGAGUAGUGCCUUUUUUUAAUUCCUUUCGCCAUUUUCCCUUACGGUUGCCAUGCUACGUAGCAAAUAAUAAGGUGGAAACAGUGUUAAAAAUCUAUUAUUGGCAAAACAUUGUUCAAGAUUCCUCACUUUAUUCUAAUCUUUUUGUUAGUACUUUUUUUAAAAGUAUCUUGAAAUAUUUGGAAUAUUUCAAGUAUUUCUUCACAAUGUUUUUAUUAUAAUUUACUAUUUUCUUUAUUUUUUAAGAUAUGUACUUUGAAAUAUUUAAAUUUUGUUCUUUUUUUAAUAUUACAAUUAUUACAUUUAUUCAAUUUUGUAUUAUUUUAUAUUAUCCACGUUUUUCGUUAUUUUACAUCAUAGAUUUUUUUGUCCAGUGAAGAAUUAUUUACUUGAAAUUGUAUCAUAACGAUUCAAAAGAAUUGAUAUUUGAUUAUUAUUAUAUAUUUGAGAGUUAAAUACUUUCUUAAGAACUAUUUUUGAAAAUAUUUUUGAACAAUUGGAAAUUGCAUUGAGAGUAAUUUUGCAAAUAAUCUGAAAAGAAUUUUGGAAGGAUAUUAUUUUCAAAUAUACUUAUACUCUUAAUUAUUAAUUUCAACAAACACAAAUAGAUCUGGUUUUAAUUUAGUUAAAUUCUUUUUGGACGAAGCACAAGAGAUUUAUGCUGUGAAGUGUCAAAAACUGUUGAUGGCUGGCGGCCAAUAAGCCAACAAAAGGGGAAAAAAGAGAAAUAGCUCGGCUAUCAGGAAACAAUAAGGUGGUCGAGGCUGGUAUCUGCUUUGUACGAUGAAAAUUUUACUUAAAUAUCGUUACCAAAAUCUCACCAUGUGAAUGAAUAAAGAUGGAUUGAAAUUGUAAUGGAGGCUAUUUGAAUAUGAAAAAGAACAGAAGUUUGAAGAGAUUAAUCUCUUUGCUUGCUGCAUUUAAGGCUGAACUUAAUUCUUGGGUGAAAUUGGACGAAAUUCGAUUGUUGGCAUUCAACAUCAACAUCACGCAGAAUCGGAAAGUAAUGAUCUCGGGAUAUUUUAUAAUGAUCAAUAUACGAUUUAAAGUGGAGAACAUGUUGCAUCGACAAUAAGAUACGCGGUUGGCAACACGAUUGACAGACGACACCGUCGCUCGUUUAUUAAAUAUCGAUACACGCAGGGUUAUUCACUCGACAAAAAUUUUUAAACAACAUGGAACGGUUGAUUGGAAUCGCACGAGCCCUUCGUUCAACAUCGUUAACCUGUCACUGAAGUAUCCUGGACCCCUGCGACUCGUCGAUCGAAUCCUGUCGUACCCUAAUCUAUCGCAGUCAGUUUCAUAAAUUGUUUCAACAUCUCGAUUUAACAAAUUUUCCAAUCUUAAAAUUCUUAUCUUAAAAUAAAUUGAUGGUAAAAAAUCGAAACAAGAUUAAAUCGAUCAAUUAACACUUCUGGAUCUUAUAGAUAAUAGAUUAUGUCAAAUUAUAAGUAUAUUUGGAUAAUAAAAUUUUCGAGAUUGAAUCUAA